CUGGGGUCACCAAGCUGCAACCACUUCUGCUGCUUCCAGGGUCUUCUGAGUCACAUGUUCCUCCACUGUCUCUCAGUGGGCUCAGAUGCUCCUUCCUUGUGUACCACCUGCACUGCUGUUCCCAUGUUGUCUUGGGGUGCUGGUUACAUCACUGCCAUGGGUGCUGGGUUCAUGAGUGUUGCUGUGCUGUCAGGUGCCUGGGCACCAGGGGACUUGUAUGGAACCCCCACUGCUGGUGGAGCUGGUGUCAAGGAUGCUGCCACUGGAUCUUCAUCACUGGUUCUACUGUGGUUCCUGAUGCCUCAGGCUGCAGGUUCUAGCUGCAACUGCUAAGGGGGAGCAGGAGCUGUUUUUUCUGCUCUGGCCCCAUCUGCUGGUGGUUGUGUGGUGUGGGGCACUGCUGCUGAACCACUGAUCCAUGGGCAGUCUUGUGAUCUGGGCCACUGCUCUUGCCGCUCCGUGGGCAGUUGUGCAGGCUGGGCUGCCCUUGCCUCGCCUCGCAGUCAGGUCAUCAAAGUCUGAAGAAGAGUCUGGCAAUUGCUUCCCAAUAGGCUCCUGGUUCUGUUUGUCUUGUUGGACUCAUCGGAGAAAAUGAGACACCAGCACGUGAAGUGUGUUGAAGUAUUCUAUUUGACAAGCCAGACUGGGCACUUUCCCAUAUAUACAGAUGGAACCAUGUCUGAGGCCAACACUAUCCUGAGAAAUCACUUUGCCCCAAAGUGAUGCAAGAUGACCAUUUGGAAAGGCCUCCUGGAAAAGGCGGUGGAAAGGAGAGGAAACACCGGUUUUGGAGCUCUGUUCCCAUUCCUGUGGUUUAUGCUGGCCUGGGCCCUUAGAUUUAAUUCUCUUAGAACUUUUUAUGAGUUAGUAAAUAUGGGUUUUAUCACCCAUUCUGGGGUGGUUUCACAGGGGAGAAAGGGUGGGUCUAUACGACCUUGGCUACCCCUAGACUCUAGUUAGUCUGAGACUCUUCCAGGGUAACUUGUAGGUUGAAGUCAGUUUUUAAUACCCUCCUUCAAAGACAAAGCCAGAACCCUAGGAAGUUUCAACUCUAUUACAAUGUACUUGACUUGAAACUGUCACUAAACGCUGAUAGUCAUAAAAUGCAGAGCAAGCCAGUGAGCGAGCAAGCAUGCAGGAGUGAGCAAGCCACAUCUGUUGAACGGUGAACCCCAAGAGUUCACUUACCCCAAUUCCCUCCACAAAAGGUAACCAUGGAAACCUCAUAAUCCAGAGCAUCAUCUGUCUCCAAGCAAAAUACACACACACACACACACAAGCAUGCCCUAGGAGGGCAGUGUGUGUGUGUGAGUAUGUGUGCAUGUGCUCAUGUUUCACUUCUGUGGAUGUGGGGUGUGUCUGUGUGAUGCUUCGACAGUUUGUGUGUGUGUACAUCAAAUGGAAUCAGCAUGGGCGUUCGCUGCCACAUGCUUUCCGGUUCUGCUCUCAGGGGUGGUGAAAGAGCGUAGGUUUGUCCUAAUGUUUGGGUGCUGUGCUCGGAGCUGGUUAGAGCAUGUGGGCGAGGACGUGCAUUUUCAAUUUUGUGGAGGGCAAUGUGGUGGCAUGGUGUGGGCAUACAGGAAGCUUUGUAACUUAUUUUUUUCCCCUAUCAGAUUUCUAUUGCACGAAAGUGUCCGGGAGUUGGGUUGUCACCAGCUGGGCAGUAUCAUUCCCCUGGGAUGGGAGAACUCAGCGUGGAUCCAUAUUGAGCUUCUCAAAUGAUCUAGUGUGGAUGCAAAUUCAGCAGUUGCUUCCUGGAUGACAGAAAUCCACACUGGCAUCUCCCAGCAGGGGCCUGAACCACUGCCCACAUCCUCCCUGACUCCUCCGCUGAUGGCCCCUCUGCCUCUGGCAGCACCACCUCAGCCUCCAUCUGCUUUCCUCUCGGCCCUGCUCCCAGAAGAAAGCAGUCAGGCUAAAGGGCUACAAGAUAUUUGCUGUCAGGCUGUUGCCUGAGGCUCUGACACCUUGGAGGGAACUUCCAAUGCUGCAUGGGUAAGAGUUACUUUUUGAGUGUGCACAAACGGUGCUGGAGCAACCCGGAGACGGGCUGAAGGGAACCAUCCCAUUGGUGUUGUUCACGUCCCCAUUCCUGCUGGAGCCCAUCCUCGGUCCCUCCAGGAGCUAUUUCCACUCUGGACUGUCCCCACCAAAAUGUCUGAAAGGGCCUCUUGCCCUUGGCUCACCACCUCAUCAAAACAGUUUGGAGAGGAGGGCUCCUUCACCCCAUCCAUGGUGUAGAGGCGAGGCGGGGACUCCAACGGGCUCCCGCUCUGGCUUCCUCACCUGUGCCCCUUCUGGGGGGUGUCUUGAGUUUUUAACAAGCAGCCAUUCAGAAACCUGUCGUUUGAGGUUAUUUACUAUUUCAUUCAACUGCUACUUAAGUGUCUCCCAAACGGCAGCCAGCGGGGUACAGCAAUGAAGGAGGCACUCUUUUUCCCAUGGUGUGGAGGAACCCACAAUACAGUGAGGUAAGGUAUAAUAGGGGUUAACCUGGGGCAUUAUGGGAGCUGAUAAGCGGGGCAAGGGGGCUUCUUAGAGGAACUGAUGUCUGAUCUGCAACCUGAGGAUGAGGGGGGAUUAGCUUGGUAAAGGGAGGUAAUAAGACACUUUCCAACAAAGGAGAAUGAGAUAUUUAUUAAAAAUAGGUGAAACUUUGGGCCAGGCCCAGUGGCCUAGUGGUUAAGUUUGGUGCACUCCACUUUGGCAGCCCUGGUUCAGUUCCCAAGCAUGGACCUCCACCACUCUGUUAGUGGUCAUGCUGUGCUGGGUGGCCCACAUACUGAAAAAUGGCAGAAGAUUCACAUGAAUGUUAACUCAGGGCAAAUCUUCCUCAGCAACAAAAAAAGUAAAACCUGAUAGCAAACGGCAUUCAUGAGACAGAAAAAAUGAGAAAGAGAGAAAGAUGGAGAAACAUAGCAACAAACAAAGAGGCAGACAGAUGGAGAGACAGAGAUAGCCAGAGAGAGAUGAAAGGCUGAGGGUGGAGAGAUGACAGAGACAGAGAGAGGACCAUAGAGUCAUGGACUGUUAGAGCUGGAGGGAACCACAGUGAAUGUCAUUUUACAGUAGGAAAAUAAGGCAAAGAAGGGCAUUUGCCAGAGUCAUAAAAGUGUUUAGUUGGAAUGCCAAGUCAGGAACCUCGAUCUCCUAACUUGCAAUAGGUUUGAGAGAGGAAGAGAUAGAGAGGGAUAAGAUGAGGAGAGAGGGAAGUCAGAGAUGGAGGAGAAGACAGCUAGGGAGAGGCACAGAGAGCUGAGAUUCGCUGGCCUCACACUGUCAGGAUUACCAUGUGGAGUGAAAGCAGAGAAAGUUUAGAUGCUGUUUGAGCUGGGUUUCUUUCUUGUCCUUUCUCCUUUACCAUGCUCUCUCUCCCUCUCUUUCCCCUUCCAACCACAUCCUGCCUACCAGUAGAUGUCAGGGAACUGGUUGCCAUGGCUACUAAAUGGCAUUCAAGCAGGCUGAAUUAUUAAACCCGGGUCUUUUCUUUGAAGCCAGGGCCCCAGUGCGAAGUCCCGUUAGGGGGCGCAAUACAGGUGUGGGUCUGUGCCACGGCUGUCCAAGGUGCACCCUUGCUGGUCCGGUGAAGAGAAGAGAGUGCGUCUUGAGCGCUGAGCUCUUUUCCCCGCUGGGUCCAGCAGAGGCCUGGCAGCAGGGAGGAGAUGCGUCUGCCGGGGUGAAGAGCUGGAGAGACAUGCCUUGUGCACUGAACUGAAUCCCUGCAUCCCAGCCUACUUCUCCCACCCGCUCUGCCUAGAACAAAAGGCACUGGACAGCAGCCACGACUCAUUCAAAUGGAAGAAAACCCAAAACCAACAUUUGUGUUAUGUCUGAAAGGACACCAUAUUGUUCUAAUUAGUGGAAAGAGAUGCAAGAAAUAAAAUCAUAGGUGUGUCCGAGGGGUUGUCCUCGGGCAUCUGGGAUUCUGAUGCCUUCUUGGACAGGUGAAGGGACUCUAUCGUGGAACCACACAGUUGAUGGGCAUGGCCCUCUCCCAAGAGCAUGAAUGGGCCAUCACAGAGAGUCUUGUUUGUGGGCACAAUUCUUGUUUGUUUUGAUGAUGGUGGGGGGUGAGUAUGGAUGCUCUUCUCUCAAGGAGAUUCUACGCCAGGAAAACCAUCAGCCUUCUGGUAUCCUAGCUCUUUAAACUUUUCCAUUAUUAAAAGAAACCCAAACAUUGUAGUGUGGAUGCUCCUGCUUAUAGGCUGAUGGAAGAAGGGCCUCAGUGGCUGGUAACUGCACUGUGUACACGUGUUGGGGUGGAGUGGGGGGCGUGAAGAGUCCAUUUUGGGCUAAUGGAGUCAUUCCUCUUCCACAGAUUCGACAGGUUGUGAGGUUAAUUUCCUAAAGUGGGUAAACCUCUCCCUCUUCCUCCCCACUUUGUGUUUCUUCUCCCUUGAGAGGAGGGCUACUGAUGCCCCAGGCCCUAGGAUUCUGGCUUCCCUUUGGGCAGGGCCCAAGAUCUCCUCCACAAGAGAGGGUCCCACUGUAUUCUGAUGCUUGAACUGAAAAAAAAGUUCUUAAUAAGGGAAACCAGAUCUGUGAGACUUUCCAAAAACCUGUCAGCCUCUGAAAAACUGUGCAGCCUUGCUUUGUUUCCCAGUGCCCAGCUGGAGCACUUUUUAAUAUCAGGGCUAAAGGCCUGGUGUUCCAAAAGUCUAAUUCAUAGAGACCAGACUCACUCCUUUUCAGGGUAGGUGAUAAUUUCAGGAUUUACCUGACCCUGGGGUGGAAGUCCUGGGUCCUCACUGAGUGACCCUCCCAAGCAGACUCUCUGGGGUGAAGUGGGAACUAGCAAAGAGGCUGCACAGGCCUUGGUCUUCACUUGCUUUCCACACCCCAAGCUAAGAGGAAGGGGACAGGAGCCUGUGGCCUUGUGGCUAUUUAGUUCCUUUCUAGGAAUGUUUUCCAAGGUGUGCCAGGCCCUGGGCGGGCACGGUGUACGGGUGCAAAGUUGACUAAAUAGAAUCCCUGCUCUUAGCCAUGGGAAGCUCUCCGCUAAGAAGGAAAGGCUGACCACCCUCCAUCAACUGUGGCAUCCCCCGGCUCAGCCUUCAGAGGUUUUGCUGGUCUGUGUCAAAGCCAGGCCUACAGAACAAGAGCGGCGAGUGAGGGAACCCUUCCUUUGCUCUUUUUCCUCCUUCCCUACUUCUUCCUUUCUGUUUCUCUUCUUGCCCCUUUUGAUCCAUCCUACUGCCCCCCGCCCCCUUUCUCUGAGGCCUUUCUGUGCUCGGAUUCUGAGCUUUUGGUGGAGGCUGGGCAGCUACUUAGAGCCAGCUGGUGAAGCCCGUGGGGGACCUACUUGGACUGAAGAGAUGGGCCGGUGGGACCAAGGUCUUGGCCAGCAAGGGCUCUGGGAAGCUUUUCCGCUGUUUUUGAGGAAAGAUAUGCAGAGAGCCAGAGAAAUGGGAGAGAGGGAGCCCUCGGAGGGAUUCGGGUCCAGAAAGCCUUUG
Molecule: long non-coding RNA, 5453 nt
Filed under: Equus caballus (horse)
Lineage: Eukaryota; Metazoa; Chordata; Mammalia; Perissodactyla; Equidae
Description: lncRNA (ENSECAG00000047113.1)
Source: RNAcentral